RNAcentral lists this ribosomal RNA (116 nucleotides) under Pteropus alecto (black flying fox). The record is from RNAcentral. RNAcentral also lists the same sequence under 1 other name. Lineage: Eukaryota; Metazoa; Chordata; Mammalia; Chiroptera; Pteropodidae.
GUCUAUGGCCAUGCCAUUCUGAACAAGCCUGAUGUCUGAUCUUGGAAGCUAAGCAGGGUCAGGCCUGGUUAUUACUGGGAUGGGAGACCACCUAGGAAGACCAGGUGCUGUAGGCA